GGACCGAACGCCCUCCCGCUCCCCUCCCGCGGGCGCCGCUCCGCGCCUUAAAGGAGCCGCGCCCGGCGCGGCGGGGAGCAGCAUUUUUGGGUCCCUUUCACCGAGCCUGGCCAAUCGAAUCUUUAUUCGCUCAAAGGAGAGCAGGCCCAACGAGAGAGCUCCGGUGCCGCAGAGGGCUGGGAGGGCUCGGCGGCGUCACUCACCCGCUGUCUCAACCUGAUGGAAGUGUUUGCUCCUGCUGGGCUGCAGCAGAUCCUGGAAGACCUGGGGGAGAAGGCUGUCUAAAGGGACAAUUCCAUAAGUGUCCUGCUGCUGGGGCCACGUGAGGUAGAAGUUGGAAAGUCAUCACCACAUUUUAUUUAAAGAGUGAAACUUUUUCCCCUCGGAUGCACUUAUUUAAAAUCAAGGCAUCAUUCAGAAGCUGAAGGAAAUGCAACUAAAAGACUUCAGAUUCAGCAAAGGUGUUUGCCCACACAGUGAAAGGGAAACACAGCAUUAAAGUGACUAGUAUUAAACAUCCCAGAGGGCAGAAUCUUUUCCUCUUCCUUUCACUUCAAUCUUUUACUUUAAGCACAGAUUUUGUAACUGAAUUACAUGGAUAGUUCAAGACCUGCUCUAUCAACUCUUACAAAGCAAUUUGCAACGUGAGCAACAACACAGAGAGAAUUAUCAAAAAUCUAAAAAUCAUUUAAAGAAUGUGUUAAACCUGACCACUUAGGUAGAGGACACACAGAACCAAACACAAUACAUGCUUCUGUUCUACUCAGUUGCAAGGAGGAGCUAUCUUCUCUAUAUCUGCAUGAAGUCUGUGCAGAGAAGCAGGAGGCAAUCUUAAGGUGUGGAAAUGUGCUGAGAUGAGGCAAACCUAAAAAACCUAAAAGUUGACACUCAACAGAUAUUUCACGAGGCACACUACAAAAUCAGCAGCACUACAGCAGCGUUGUGUCCUAGAUGAAUUUGCUAUGAAUAUUGAGGGCUUAACUCUAAACAUCACUGGGCUCUAUAGCUUUGUGGCAGGGAGAAUUUUCUUAAUUGCAGGAUAAUGAUGUGGUCUGGGCACAUGCCUUUUGCCAAGUGGUUAUGAAUUACUUUGUGCAGAUACAUGAAACCCACAUCAAAUAGAAAGCACACAUGUGUCCUUCCACUCUGAAGGAGAGAAGGAAGAAAACUACUGUGGAAAGGAGGUCAAACAUAAAUCAUAGCAAGGUUAAAAGCCAUGGACUAAAAAACUGACCUUGAAAAUAUGGUUUAUCCUGCUGCCUUUCAAGACAAUUUGUCCUGUUGUUCAACACCCCUAUUUGAAACUACCAAAGGCUUGUCUUUCCUUAUUAAAAAAAAAACCAAAAAGGCAGCACCAUCUCACUAGAAUUGUCAGCAUUUAGAGAUGGAAUUCUGAUUUGGAAAAAAAUGUCCUUUAACACAGGCCUGAGAGAAUUGUCAGAGGGGAGAAAAAAUGAAUUGGAAUGGUAAAUUUGCUUUUCUUGUAAAUGACAUGAGGCUGUUCUUUCUUGUUUUAAAAUAUCAGAAUGGCUUCUUGAUGGAACUUUUGCAACUGAAAACCUGCAAUCCAUUUAACCAGAACUCUGUUUUCACCCUAGCUCAGAGCUGAUUUGUGUGUCUGGAUUUAGCUUUAGGCACGGUCCCUGCCAUCUUCUGCCAGAGACUUUUCUCCUGCAAACUUAAUCCAUGAUCCAGAUACAUGAUUAUUUCAAAUUUACAUUUCAAAAGGAGUAAAAGAUUGAUUUUCAUUCCAAGAAAGAAGAGGGAGGCACAAUGAUGUUGUCGAAUCUUUUGUUCCCAGAAGAAUCAGCAAAAAUUAACAGAAUUGAGGAACUAUAAUUUGGGUCAGACCAACCAUCUUAAUCCAUGUCUGCUAUUUUCUACUCUUUUUUUAAUGUGUUAGACAUAAGCAUGUUUGAUUUAUGACUAGAGUCAAAAACAUCUGUACUUUGGGGCACAAGCAAAUACUUACUUGAACAAUGGGCUCUCUGGGGAGGGAUAUAGAAAAGAAAUGACAUUUUUUUUGCAAAUAAUUCAGUGUUUUCCACUCCAUAAAGUAUUUUGCUUUGUUUUGAAAAGUGCUCUGCAGAAGACCCAAUGAUUCAGUAAUCCAUUAUAAAGGAGUCCAGCAACUUUCACCUUUAUGUGACUGGUGUGUCUGUGAGCCAGGGUAGCACUGGGGAAAUGCUGAUACCAUUUUCUGGUCUUGGAGUGACCCACGUGAAAAGAAUUGGUAAUCUCGGUCUCAUUGGCAGCAUGCAAGUAUUCACAUCUUAAAAACAUUUGGAACUAGUUGGCAGUCUGAGGCCUUGUCUGCACUGAGGAUUAGUUCUGAUUUCAGGAAUUAUUUUAGCUUCUGGUAAAAACCUCCUGUAGAUCAAGUUGUGCAAAUUGUGAUCUGUGCUGUCCUCUGCAUCAAUGAAUGGCUGAUGUGGGGACUAGUUCUAAUUGCAGAUGAGGUUGAAGGACAGGAGCCAUGUUCUGAAUAGCUACAUAUUCUGGAUCAACUCUCAUGAUGUGCUUCAGUAGUUUAUUUGAAGUUUUUUAGGGAAAAAAUGUCAAAAGUAUCAGAAGAUAAAUAUCUGUAACAUUUUCAGUUCAAGCCUGCAGUGGCUGGAGAUCCAGUUCCGUAACCAGAUGCUGUUCUGUGUGUGCAUUGACAUGAUUAGAAACAGGCUUGAAAGCAAUGCUUAAAAUCACUAGUAAACUUCUCAGAUCUCAGUCAGCCAGGUCUGGGAAUGAAUGGUGUGCCCACACCUUUUAAACCCAUGCUCUUGACUCCAGACAUCUCUGCACCUGAGGGACUGAGCCUUGGAGCUGACCUCUGUGUCUGAGCACCGUCCAUACACUGUGACAGAGAUGUGUCUCACUGUAGAGCCCAGUGUAAACUGUUAAUGUCAACAGAGAGCCCAGAGCAGAGAGACAGAAAUUAUGUCUGUUCCUGUAAGGUUCCCACAUAUAGAAAAAGCAGGAAAAAAAAAUUAAAGAGUAACAAUCCACAUUUCAGCUGCUUUUCUAAAUGAAUAUAUUCAACAAUGUGGCAGUCUAGUAGCUUUCUGUGCCUGUGGUAAAACUAUGCCAAACUAGAGUGAGAAAACCUAGGGUCUUUUAAAAUAAGGUGUGAAAAACUCUGUAGCAAGUGUAGAAUUUUAGAAAAGAGCCAAAGUCUAUGUCCACCCUCAGAAGAGCAGAAUGACAGAGCUCUGGCAACCGUAGCAGCCACCACCGAUUUAUUUACGAGUUCCUGGAGUUGGUCCAGUGUAAUUAUGGGCCUGAACUCCAGAUCAGAUUCACUUGACAUUUGAGAAAGUCUGUGGAAAAGCAGUAAUAAUAAACUGAUAAUAACCAUCCAUCUCAUAAGCAACAAAAAAUAAAGAGAAGAGAAAGGGCAGGUGGGGAGAGGGGGUGGCAACAUAAUCCCCAAAAGAUCUCCUGUUUGUCAGGAGAUACUUUCAGUACAAACUCUCAUGUAUUUUCUAGAACGAGCUGUGGAGAAUGUUGGAGUAAAUCUUGCCUUAUGUCAGUGUUAUUGCAAUUAUUACACUGGAAAAAAAUGAAAAUGGGGGGUGCACAGGAAGUUGGGAUAAGUUAGGACAGCAGUUUCUUCAGGUGGAGUACAUCUUUUGUGGCCCACAUGGCAUUUAUACAAGCAUGCUCAUCACCUAGAUCAUCUUACCAAGAAGCUGUUGAGUUUGGAAAAAGAUGUUUAAAGAAACUAUGCUGUACAUAUGAUUAGUUUUCAAUUUCAUGCACAGUCUAGAAAUACAUUUUUUAUGCUUUA
Long non-coding RNA from Parus major (Great Tit), 3781 nucleotides. RefSeq lists it as uncharacterized. NCBI's taxonomy places the organism in Eukaryota, Metazoa, Chordata, Aves, Passeriformes, Paridae. The record is from RefSeq and is a predicted model, not a curated record. The transcript is spliced from 2 exons.